CAACUCUCUGGCCCCAGUUUCCUCCUCACCCUCUCGGGGCCCAGGUGUUCCUUCGGAAAUCCCAGCUUCUCCACCGCCUGGCCAAGCGUGACUCCUCUUUCAAUCCCCGCAGCUAGCAGGAGCAAAGAGUUUCAGAUUUAUCGAUUCCGAUCCUGGGAGUACCUUUCUGAUCCCUCUGUCUUCACCAAAUCGGACUUCUCAAAAACUUACGGCUGCAAGAUUGGAAAAGUGAGCCCCAACGCAAAAGGUGGGUAUAUUAGGUUACCAUUCUGCAAAGACACAGAUGGGUGGGAUUCAUGAGUAAGUACGGCAAAGUCGGGCACCACUGGCUUGGAAUCAUAUGACCACAAAGUGCAGUGCCAUGUAUCAUCAUAUCUACAUUCUACCCAAUUCAUCUAUGGGACAAUUAAUUUCUUAUUUUCAAGCUCGGUAGUCACCUCCAAAUAAGAAACCAAUCAACAUGUUCUUUUCCUCUCUCUAAAGAGCUAGCAGAGUUAUUUUUGUUGUUAAUGAUGGUAUUUUGUACACAGUGAGUUUAUAACAUUUGACUCUGUGUGGAAUAAUGAUAAACAGACCGUCGCCUCACUUCCCAACUGUGUCUGUAAAACUUUACACUCCUUUUCAUCCAUGAACUUUGUAAACUGAUUCCAGCUCAUUUCCAAACCAAACUAUCCUUUGGUCCCAGAAUUUUGUUUUGCUUUGCAUAACAUAUGGCCAGGUUUCUACAUUUUGAAUAGUAAGAAUUUUUUCCUGUCCUGACCUCUCAGAGACAAGGCUCUUUCAUUGUUUCUUCCAUCAUCCAAAUGUAUAUAUCAUUUUAAUUGUGGAAAAAUGCCAGGAAGAAAAAUGGAAAGGUUUUCUUAAACUUUUUUUUAAAACCAUCUAAAUUAUGAAUCCCAUGCCUUUCCUGUUAUCAGACAAAUGCCUCUUAAGAUUCUAAUCUGCCCAGAACACAUCACAGGCUACAAUUGUUUUUGUCAUCCUAGAGAUAGAAUCAGUUGUUGGAAUGCAGCAUAGAGGCCUGUAACUUUUCUGAUGGAUUGUUACCUCCAGUACUCUAAUAGGGGUUGCCACUUAAAAACGUAGGUUGCUCAGCCUCAUUCUCCUGUUAGUAUUUGCGUGACUCUUCCCCUUUAAUGGUUCAGAGACUUCAUCUGGAUGCUGUCUGAAUCCUAUUUCUGGGAAGGGAAGGGGUUCCAGCUCCACCCCCUCGUUGGACAGCUGUGGGGCAGUUGAAGGAAGCCCCAGAGAGCAGCCCUUGGGAGCCUCAUGGCAAUCGGCAGCAUCCAGGUGGGGGACAAAGGGGUGUGGGGGCGGAGUGAAGAUGGGGCAGGAUUCCCAGGUAGCAGCUUGGCCAGUCUGGAGGCACACAUGAGC
This 1377-nucleotide long non-coding RNA is filed under the name Ornithorhynchus anatinus (platypus). Its description in RNAcentral is "lncRNA (ENSOANG00000041113.1)". Lineage: Eukaryota; Metazoa; Chordata; Mammalia; Monotremata; Ornithorhynchidae. The record is from RNAcentral.